AAUUUUGAAGGGCCGCAGUAUUCUGACUGUGCAAAGGUAGCAUAAUCAUUUGCCUUUUAAUUAAAGGCUUGUAUGAAUGGUUGAACGAAAUACAAACUGUCUCACUCUAAAAAAUUUAAAAAUUUAGCUUUCAAGUCAAAAGGCUUGAAUAAUAUUAGAGGACGAGAAGACCCUAUAGAACUUUAUAAUAUUUUUUGUGAAUUUACAUAGUAAAAUAUUUUUUAUUUAUAAAUAUUAUUAUUUUGUUGGGGUGACAGGAAAAUAAGUAAAACUUUUUUGAAUUUUGAACAUUGAUUUAUGAAUAUUUGAUCCAUUAUUAGUGAUUAUUAGAAUAAGUUACCUUAGGGAUAACAGCGUAAUUUUGUUGGAGAGUUCAAAUCGAUAACAAAGUUUGCGACCUCGAUGUUGAAUUAAAGAAAUUUUAGAGUGCAGAAGCUUUAAGUAAUAGGUCUGUUCGACCUUUAAAUCUUUACAUGAUCUGAGU
This 484-nucleotide ribosomal RNA is filed under the name Myrmeleon hyalinus. Its description in RNAcentral is "partial 16S ribosomal RNA". It matches the Rfam family "Bacterial large subunit ribosomal RNA", at positions 1919 to 2610 of the family's 2925-position model. Lineage: Eukaryota; Metazoa; Arthropoda; Insecta; Neuroptera; Myrmeleontidae. The record is from RNAcentral.